CUAAGGUUUCCUGAGGAAGGCUCGUCCGCUCAGGGUUAGUCGGGACCUAAGCCGAGGCCGAAAGGCGUAGGCGAUGGACAACAGGUUGAUAUUCCUGUACCACCUCCUCACCAUUUGAGCAAUGGGGGGACGCAGGAGGAUAGGGCAAGCGCGGUAUUGGAUAUCCGCGUCCAAGCAGUUAGGCUGGGAAAUAGGCAAAUCCGUUUCCCGUAAGGCUGAGCUGUGAUGGCGAGCGAAAUAUAGUAGCGAAGUUCCUGAUUCCACACUGCCAAGAAAAGCCUCUAGCGAGGUGAGAGGUGCCCGUACCGCAAACCGACACAGGUAGGCGAGGAGUGAAUCCUAUGGUGAUCGAGAGAACUCUCG
Molecule: ribosomal RNA, 363 nt
Filed under: Bacillus licheniformis
Lineage: Bacteria; Bacillati; Bacillota; Bacilli; Caryophanales; Bacillaceae
Description: bacterial LSU rRNA
Rfam family: Bacterial large subunit ribosomal RNA
Source: RNAcentral